This 109-nucleotide small nuclear RNA is filed under the name Cricetulus griseus (Chinese hamster). The record is from RNAcentral. Lineage: Eukaryota; Metazoa; Chordata; Mammalia; Rodentia; Cricetidae.
AAAAAUAUGGAACGCUUCACGAAUUUGCGUGUCAUCUUUGUGCAGGGACCAUGUUAAUCUUCUCUGUAUCGUUCCAAUUUUAGUAUAUGUGCUGCACAGAAAUGAUCUC